Molecule: ribosomal RNA, 465 nt
Filed under: uncultured bacterium
Lineage: Bacteria
Description: bacterial SSU rRNA
Rfam family: Bacterial small subunit ribosomal RNA
Source: RNAcentral
AGAGUUUGAUUAUGGCUCAGAAUGAACGCUGGCGGCAUGCCUAACACAUGCAAGUCGAACGAGGGCUUCGGCCUUAGUGGCGCACGGGUGCGUAACGCGUGGGAAUCUGCCCCUUGGUUCGGAAUAACAGUUAGAAAUGACUGCUAAUACCGGAUGAUGACGUAAGUCCAAAGAUUUAUCGCCGAGGGAUGAGCCCGCGUAGGAUUAGCUAGUUGGUGUGGUAAGAGCGCACCAAGGCGACGAUCCUUAGCUGGUCUGAGAGGAUGAUCAGCCACACUGGGACUGAGACACGGCCCAGACUCCUACGGGAGGCAGCAGUGGGGAAUAUUGGACAAUGGGCGAAAGCCUGAUCCAGCCAAUGCCGCGUGAGUGAUGAAGGCCUUAGGGUUGUAAAGCUCUUUUACCCGGGAUGAUAAUGACAGUACCGGGAGAAUAAGCUCCGGCUAACUCCGUGCCAGCAGCAGC